RNAcentral lists this transfer RNA (72 nucleotides) under Klebsiella grimontii. Its description in RNAcentral is "tRNA-Lys". It matches the Rfam family "tRNA". From Rfam's summary of the family: Transfer RNA (tRNA) molecules are approximately 80 nucleotides in length. Their secondary structure includes four short double-helical elements and three loops (D, anti-codon, and T loops). Further hydrogen bonds mediate the characteristic L-shaped molecular structure. tRNAs have two regions of fundamental functional importance: the anti-codon, which is responsible for specific mRNA codon recognition, and the 3' end, to which the tRNAs corresponding amino acid is attached (by aminoacyl-tRNA synthetases). tRNAs cope with the degeneracy of the genetic code in two manners: having more than one tRNA (with a specific anti-codon) for a particular amino acid; and 'wobble' base-pairing, i.e. permitting non-standard base-pairing at the 3rd anti-codon position. Lineage: Bacteria; Pseudomonadati; Pseudomonadota; Gammaproteobacteria; Enterobacterales; Enterobacteriaceae. The record is from RNAcentral.
GGGUCGUUAGCUCAGUUGAGCAGUUGACUUUUAAUCAAUUGGUCGCAGGUUCGAAUCCUGCACGACCCACCA